Molecule: ribosomal RNA, 253 nt
Filed under: uncultured bacterium
Lineage: Bacteria
Description: partial 16S ribosomal RNA
Rfam family: Bacterial small subunit ribosomal RNA
Source: RNAcentral
UACAGGGGGGGCAAGCGUUGUUCGGAAUUACUGGGCGUAAAGGGUAUGUAGGUGGCCAACUAAGUCAGACGUGAAAUCCCUCAGCUUAACUGGGGAACUGCGUCUGAUACUGGAUGGCUUGAGUGUGGGAGAGGAAUGCGGAAUUCCAGGUGUAGCGGUGAAAUGCGUAGAUAUCUGGAGGAACACCGGUGGCGAAGGCGGCAUUCUGGACCAUAACUGACACUGAGAGACGAAAGCCAGGGGGGCAAACGGG